This 238-nucleotide long non-coding RNA is filed under the name Elaeis guineensis (African oil palm). Its description in RNAcentral is "long non-coding RNA (EGUI_LNC027286)". Lineage: Eukaryota; Viridiplantae; Streptophyta; Magnoliopsida; Arecales; Arecaceae. The record is from RNAcentral.
UAUCCAAGACAAAAAUUUGUGAUUCUGAAAAAUCUAUAUUCUUCCUUCUAGUCUCAUUCUCAAGUAAACUAGCUUUAGUCAUACUCAUUGUUACUACUCCAUUUGGUACCGAGUUAGUGAGAGCUACUACCAAAGUCUCAUAACUAUCCAGAAAUGAACUUAAGAGUAGUAAUGCAUGAAACUCAUCUUCCAACACCAUUUUCAUGGUUGCAAGUUGAUUCAUCAUACUUUGCAUCUC